AAAAGAAACAAACAAAAUAUGAUAACUUAGGCACAUUUCUUGCCAUUCAUCAUCAUCCUUGUAAACUCAUUCAAAUCAAUAAGACCAUCUCCAUCACUAUCAACCCCUUUCACCAUUUUCUUACAAGCACUAAGGCUACAACUCUCUCCUAACCUCUUAAAUAUUUGAGACAAUUCCUCAGCACUAAUUUUCCCAUCACCAUUUAUAUCAAAUACUUGAAAAGCACUCUUAAUAUCUUCUUCUUUUAUCUUACUACCUUCUCCAUUGAACAUUUCCAUAAACUCUUUAAAGUCUAUGAAGCCAUCUUUGUCAGAGUCCAUUGCUUUAAAUGCUUUCACUGCAUCAUUGUCACAAAUAAUCCCCUUAUCCAAAGCUUUUGCAGCUGCUUUAUACUCUUCCAGACUAAUCUUGCCAUCUUUGUUUUUGUCGAAUUUCUCAAACACCCAUUUCAUUUCAUCUUUCUUUGGUUGGAAACUCAUUUCAGCAUUCGAUGUCUCUCUCAACUUGAAGCUGUUCUGUUCGGCUAUAUUUUUUCGCGGAGAUAUUGGCUUGGCUGAAAAGCUACCAUGAAGCUUUAGAAAACUCAAUUUUGACAUGGUAUUUUAAUUUUCUAAGGACUUUUGAUACAAUUUGGCUUUAGUAUGAAUUUGUAUUAUGAGGACAACUAUAUUAUGACUUGUUUAUAUAGAUUUCAUAAGUCUCCUACUCUUGGAAGGCUCUAGAUAUGAUUUGUAGAGGAAAAGUAGUGGAAUCUGAAUAAAGAUUUGUUCUUAUUCCAAGAGCUUUUAAACUAAAAGUUUGUGUCCUUUAUACUAGAUUCUUAGAGUUGUGGAUGUAAUUACUUGUGUUUAAAGUUAUUAGGUCAUUGAUAGACACUGAUUUGGGAAAGUUAGAAUAACUUUAUGGUGGAAGGGAUUUGAUCAAAGUUCACUUAUGAAUUAUGACUCACGGUGUAAGUUGAAAAGGAAAUGCAUAUAUGUUGGAUGAUUCCUUUUGAACUUUUAGUAUUCAACACAAAUAAUGCCCCGCUUGCUGAGUUGAAUCCUAUUCUCAUGUCACUAUUAAUUUGUUACUUUUGUAUACCAAAGUUUUGGCGAAUCCUUCAAUGAGUACAGAACAUUUUGUGAAGGCAUAUAUUUCAUCAAAACUACACAAAGACAGACUUCUACUUACACCAAAGCAAUAUCAAACCAAAUUGAGUUGGAUUUAAACCAUAACCAAAC
RNAcentral lists this long non-coding RNA (1223 nucleotides) under Medicago truncatula (barrel medic). Its description in RNAcentral is "lncRNA gene29018". The record is from RNAcentral. Lineage: Eukaryota; Viridiplantae; Streptophyta; Magnoliopsida; Fabales; Fabaceae.